This is a long non-coding RNA of Cyprinus carpio (common carp), 590 nucleotides long. RefSeq lists it as uncharacterized. Lineage: Eukaryota; Metazoa; Chordata; Actinopteri; Cypriniformes; Cyprinidae. The record is from RefSeq and is a predicted model, not a curated record.
AGGGCGGGUCCUAAGCGAAGCGUAUUCAAUGACGUCGUGGUUUGACUGUUUGAUAAAUAGAUCAGUCUUGAAAGAAAGUAUACAAUAUAUAAAAUAAUAUAUAUAUUAAAUUUGCUUAUUUAAAAAAAACAUCUUGCCGUUAAUGAGAGAAAACUGACAUUGUUGCCUUUGAUGGGUAUUUAAUUCAGACAAGGACUGUAGGUUACAAAGGUCAAAGCUCUAAAACGGUGUGCAGACAGUGACAAAUCGCUCUGAAGUUGCACCCAAGUUCAAACGUGAAUAACAGAAAUUUUUAAAUGAAAUUCCCAUGGAUGAUCGUCUCUGCUGCCCUGUGAGAAUUAGAACAAUUUGUAGGCGAUGAGCUAAAAUGUGUAUGAAAAAUUAAAAUCACAUCUAACCUUGCUCCGUUUCGGCGUCAUUUGAUUGUUCUGUUGUGAUGUUUCUGGAGCCUGCAGCCUGCUCUCAUCGACACUGCCUUCUCUCUUUACCCAUGAGAUAAAAACGCAAUUAUCUAGCGCGAUCCUGAGAUGCUUCGUUACCCUCAUGGUGGAAAUACAGUUCAUAGCAUCCCUGAAAGCUUACAAAAUCAU